RNAcentral lists this transfer RNA (94 nucleotides) under Staphylococcus aureus. RNAcentral's name for it is "tRNA-???(tgaa)". It matches the Rfam family "tRNA". From Rfam's summary of the family: Transfer RNA (tRNA) molecules are approximately 80 nucleotides in length. Their secondary structure includes four short double-helical elements and three loops (D, anti-codon, and T loops). Further hydrogen bonds mediate the characteristic L-shaped molecular structure. tRNAs have two regions of fundamental functional importance: the anti-codon, which is responsible for specific mRNA codon recognition, and the 3' end, to which the tRNAs corresponding amino acid is attached (by aminoacyl-tRNA synthetases). tRNAs cope with the degeneracy of the genetic code in two manners: having more than one tRNA (with a specific anti-codon) for a particular amino acid; and 'wobble' base-pairing, i.e. permitting non-standard base-pairing at the 3rd anti-codon position. The record is from RNAcentral. Lineage: Bacteria; Bacillati; Bacillota; Bacilli; Caryophanales; Staphylococcaceae.
GGAGGAAUACCCAAGUCCGGCUGAAGGGAUCGGUCUUGAAAAACCGACAGGGGCUUAACGGCUCGCGGGGGUUCGAAUCCCUCUUCCUCCGCCA